AGCUCCAAUAGCGUAUAUUAAAGUUGUUGCGGUAAAAAGCUCGUAGUUGGAUUUCUGUUGAGAACGACCGGUCCACACAACGUGUGCGCAUCUGGUUCGGUCUCGGCAUCCUCUCGCAAGACGUUAUUGCGCUUGAUUGCGUGAUGCGGAUUACGGGACUUUUACUUUGAGGAAAUUAGAGUGUUCACGGCAGGCUAUCGCCAGAAUACAUUAGCAUGGAAUAAUACUAUAGGAUCUUGAUCCUAUUUUGUUGGUUUCUAGGAUUGAGAUAAUGAUUAAUAGGGACAAUUGGGGGCAUUCGUAUCAUCACGUCAGAGGUGAAAUUCUUGGAUCGUGAUGCGACGAACUACUGCGAAAGCAUUUGCCAAGGAUGUUUUCAUUUGAUC
RNAcentral lists this ribosomal RNA (386 nucleotides) under uncultured eukaryote. Its description in RNAcentral is "SSU rRNA". It matches the Rfam family "Eukaryotic small subunit ribosomal RNA", at positions 587 to 978 of the family's 1831-position model. The record is from RNAcentral.